This 491-nucleotide ribosomal RNA is filed under the name uncultured bacterium. Its description in RNAcentral is "partial 16S ribosomal RNA". It matches the Rfam family "Bacterial small subunit ribosomal RNA", at positions 29 to 507 of the family's 1533-position model. The record is from RNAcentral.
GUGAACGCUGGCGGUAGGCCUAACCCAUGCCAGUCGCACGGCAGCACAGUAAGAGCUUGCUCUUCCGGGUGGCGAGUGGCGGACGGGUGAGGAAUACAUCGGAAUCUACUUUUUCGUGGGGGAUAACGUAGGGAAACUUACGCUAAUACCGCAUACGACCUACGGGUGAAAGCAGGGGAUCUUCGGACCUUGCGCGAUUGAAUGAGCCGAUGUCGGAUUAGCUAGUUGGCGGGGUAAAGGCCCACCAAGGCGACGAUCCGUAGCUGGUCUGAGAGGAUGAUCAGCCACACUGGAACUGAGACACGGUCCAGACUCCUACGGGAGGCAGCAGUGGGGAAUAUUGGACAAUGGGCGCAAGCCUGAUCCAGCCAUACCGCGUGGGUGAAGAAGGCCUUCGGGUUGUAAAGCCCUUUUGUUGGGAAAGAAAAGCAGCAGGUUAAUACCCCGCUGUUCUGACGGUACCCAAAGAAUAAGCACCGGCUAACUUCGUG